CAGAAGGUAGUUUAAGUUAAAAUGUUAGUUUUGGGGACUGAGGAUGUUAUGUACUUUUCUGA
Molecule: transfer RNA, 62 nt
Filed under: Japyx solifugus
Lineage: Eukaryota; Metazoa; Arthropoda; Diplura; Dicellurata; Japygidae
Description: tRNA-Pro
Source: RNAcentral